RNAcentral lists this ribosomal RNA (352 nucleotides) under uncultured Racocetra. RNAcentral describes it as "SSU rRNA". It matches the Rfam family "Eukaryotic small subunit ribosomal RNA", at positions 569 to 929 of the family's 1831-position model. The record is from RNAcentral. Lineage: Eukaryota; Fungi; Glomeromycota; Glomeromycetes; Diversisporales; Gigasporaceae.
AGCAGCCGCGGUAAUUCCAGCUCCAAUAGCGUAUAUUAAAGUUGUUGCAGUUAAAAAGCUCGUAGUUGAAUUUCGGGGUUCUACCGUUGGUCGGGCUAUUGUCUGUACUGGCGUGUAGAAUUUCUACCUUCUGGGGAACUAUCAUGUUAUUUAUUAGCGUGGUAGGAAACCAGGACCUUUACCUUGAAAAAAUUAGAGUGUUCAAAGCAGGCUUAUGUCUGAAUACAUUAGCAUGGAAUAAUAAAAUAGGACGGUGGUCCUGUUUUGUUGGUUUCUGAAUCACCGUAAUGAUUAAUAGGGAUAGUUGGGGGCAUUAGUAUUCAAUUGUCAGAGGUGAAAUUCUUGGAUUUAU